CUGUGGCAGUUAGGCUGAUGGGUCCCCUGCACUGGUGAGGCCCAUGUCUGCAAAGCCUGUAAACGGCAUACUCCUAGCAUAUGUACCCUGCCGCUUCAUGGAUUGCCCUAAGGGACCUUGGUGACAACC
This 129-nucleotide small nucleolar RNA is filed under the name Dipodomys ordii (Ord's kangaroo rat). RNAcentral's name for it is "Small nucleolar RNA SNORA70". It matches the Rfam family "Small nucleolar RNA SNORA70". From Rfam's summary of the family: snoRNA U70 seems to be exclusive to mammals and is a member of the H/ACA class of snoRNA which contain H (ANANNA) and ACA box motifs. H/ACA box snoRNAs are involved in the conversion of uridines to pseudouridines (5-ribosyluracil) a constituent of structural RNAs (transfer, ribosomal, small nuclear, and small nucleolar). Lineage: Eukaryota; Metazoa; Chordata; Mammalia; Rodentia; Heteromyidae. The record is from Rfam by way of RNAcentral.